This 178-nucleotide small nucleolar RNA is filed under the name Prunus dulcis (almond). Its description in RNAcentral is "sRNA ncRNA". The stretch from base 3 to 69 matches the Rfam family "Small nucleolar RNA U49". Lineage: Eukaryota; Viridiplantae; Streptophyta; Magnoliopsida; Rosales; Rosaceae. The record is from RNAcentral.
GAUACCAAUGAGGAAGAAUGCCCAAAGUGAUAGGAAGUGCCGUAUGACACUUUAAACAGCGGCGGCUACACGGAAAGAGCCGCUGCGUUCCCAUCCGCCGAUGAUUGGUUCAUUGGUCGGGAACAGGUGGUUCCGGUGUGCCGCCGUGUGUGUGAUUUGGAACGGGAUUCUGAGGGUC